Molecule: transfer RNA, 72 nt
Filed under: Candidatus Woesebacteria bacterium
Lineage: Bacteria; Candidatus Woeseibacteriota
Also listed under: 1 other name
Description: tRNA-Ala
Rfam family: tRNA
About the family: Transfer RNA (tRNA) molecules are approximately 80 nucleotides in length. Their secondary structure includes four short double-helical elements and three loops (D, anti-codon, and T loops).
Source: RNAcentral
GGGCCUUUAGCUUAUCUGGUAGAGCACGGCAUUCGCAUUGCCGAGAGGGCGGUUCGAGUCCGCCAAGGUCCA